UUCCCUGUCUUAGUUUAUUAUUUCCAAUAGAAGGAUAAUUAGAGUUUUCACUGAGCAGCAAGGAACAUGUUUUUCAGGUAGCCUACAUGAGCAGCAAGGAACAUGUUUUUCAGGUAGCCUACAUUAUAUAGUCUAAGAAUCUCAAGUCUUAAAAGAACUCAUGGGACUAAUUUUAUCAAUAGCUAUGUUCAUAAAAUUCUGCAGGAGAGUUUUAAGUAGAUUUUCUAGAUUCUUUAACCUCUUAGCAUUAAGGAAUAUGAAAACAGCAAAUGAAUAGUGCUCUGUUCUGUGACUAAUAUGAUUCAUGAUUUGGCAUGUUCAUAUUAUCUUUAGUAUCCAGGGUGAGAUUUAGAAGGAGCCACUUACGUCUUUUUUUUUUUUUUUAAAGUUAGAUGAGUAGAAAAGUCAUAAACAUAUCAUUUCUGUAUUUACCACUCCUUGCUCAGAUUCUACGUAUAACUUCGACUGGCAGAUGUAUUGCUAGGAUGAAAGGCUAGAAAAUAAGUUCAUGGUUUGACUUAAUACUUAUUUUUGCGAUUGCCAGCUGACUUUCUUUGUCAUUGAAGACAAAACAUUUCAAGAUAUAAAGUUGUUCAACGCCACAUAGAGACUGAAGCAAAUGUAGGUAGGUAGUAAAGGCAUGUGCACAGAAACAUGGAGCCAAGAAACCAAAAUUAUGAUUAGUGACACAACGAAGUGAUUCUUUUUAAUAGACCCUGUUAGCCAUGUGAGUAGUACAGGGCAGUGGUUCUCAAAACUAAUCAGAAUCACUUGGAGAAGGCUUUAUUUAAACAGGUGCCAUACCCUUACCCUAAGAGGCUUAGAUCUUAGUAGUUCUGAGGCAGGCAUUUCUAUUAGGUCAGGUUCCUAAGUGAUGCUGAUGCUGAUCUUACUGGUCCAAAGAUUAUACUUCGGAAGUCACUGUUUUAAGGGGAAAAGAAGAAAAUGUAGAUGUGGGAGCAGGUGUGAGAAAACAUGUUCACCAGAUAAGUUGAACGUAUAUAAUUAUAUCAAGAAAAUUUUGUUUUAUAUUAUUGGUUCUCAAAAUGAUCUAAAAAUUUGAGAUUGAGGAACAUUGUUUUAAACAAAAGCAAUAACUUGAAAGUUUGGUUUCACAAGUAAUAUGUUGCAAAUGAAAAUUGUUGCUAGUUAAAGGAAGGUAUGGAUACUGAUUUGUAUAGCGACUUAGCUUUUUCCAAUGUCACCCAGCUUUAUCUGAUGACUCAGUACGGUAACAAGAAAGUUGGGCAGGGCUGGGGAUGUGGCUCAAGCAGUAGCGCACUUGCCUGGCAUGCGUGCGGCCCGGGUUCGAUCCUCAGCACCACAUACAACAAAGAUGUUGUGUCCGCCGAAAACUAAAAAAUAAAUAUUAAAAUUCUCUCUCUCUCUCUCUCACUCUCUCUUUAAAAAAAAAAAGAAAGUUGGGCAGGUUGCCAAAUAAAAAUAGUGUUUCCUUUAGUAGAGUUCUUACUCAGUCUCAGGUUAUAAGUACAUUAUGAGGAUUAUAUCAUUUAAUCAACACAAGAACCCCAUUUUGCAAAUGAGCAGACUGGGUUCCAGAAAGGAUAAGAAAUUUCCCUAUAGUUAUGCAAUACUGGUGAAGCUGGGAUUUGAACUCAGGUAAACUAACUCUAGAGCUUGUGCACUUAACCUGAAGUUAUAUGGUCUUCCUGAACUUCAUAGCCUACUUAGGAUGCAGUGGAGAAUAUGAGGUGCACUCAGGUGUGGUAGUUGACUGUGAGACUAUCUCAGUGUUAGCUACUAUAUGAAUAGUGAAACAAACUUGCAAAUAAAUUUUAACUCCUGUUUUCACUGGGGGUCUGCCACAUGCAUUAGGAACUUUGCUACAAUAGGCAUUGCAAAGCAAAGUCAUCAGGAAAAACAAAAUAAAACAAACAAAAAACCUAGCUUGAAGAAUUUAGGUCAAAUUUAAUCAGUUUUUCAGUAUUCACAGAUUUUCCACCUGAAUUGGGCUACUGUGAGGAAUUAUAGAUGCUAUUUCUCUAGAGCCCUUUAAAAAGAGCAGGGAGAAAGUGUUACUUUUUCAGGUAUCCUAUUAGAGUGCAUUACAAAGUCAAGUUUAUGAUUUUCCACUUAGAUUCCUAACCUUCCUUAAAAAGCGGGAAGGUCAUCAGGACCUCCCAGUCUUUAGGCCUCACUAAUGAAAUUGUUUGCCUCAUUAAUGUAGUAAAAAAAUAUUUUGUCCACUCCUGUUGUGUUUCUGAUACUAUUUUCAGAGUCCAGGAUAUAGGAAUGAAUGAAACAGCCCAUGGAGCCUGUAUUCUAGUAAGAGGAGACAGGCAAAAGCCAAGUAAGUAAACAUACUAUACAUUAGAAGAGGUAAGUAAUAUAAAGAAAAUUAAAACAGCAAUAGAAGAAGGUGUUGGGGUAGGCUAGCCACCCAUAUAUAUCCAAAUUCUGAUCCCUGGAACCUGUGAAGAUGUUAUGUUGUGAAGCAAGGAGAAAUUAUGGUUGCAAAUGGAAUUAAGGCUACUAAUAAGCUGUUCCUAAAGUAAGAAAAUAAUCCUGGAUUAUCCAAGUAGCCCAACAUAAAACAAGGGCCUUUAAAUAUAGACAGGGAGCUGGAGAGUCAAUGUCAAAGUAACUCUGUGAGAAAGGUUCAACUCCUUGUUCAUGACUUUGAAGAUAGAGGCAGAGAGCCAUAAACCAAGAAAUUUGAACAGUCACUAGAAAGUGGAAAAGGCAAGGAAAUAUCCAUUCUCUUCUCCAGCCUCAGAAAGGAAACAGGCCUGCUGACACCUGCAUUUUAAUCUAGUGAAAUCCACAUCAGACUUUAACCUCCAGAACUAUAAGAUAAUAAAUUAAGAUUGUUUUAAACCACUAAAUUUCUGGUAAUUUAUUAGAGCAUCAAUAGGAAACUGUACUAGGAUUCUGCAGAGAAAGAAAGUCAAUAGGAUAUGAAUGUGUAAAGAUUUAUUAUAAGGACUUGGCUCACAUGAUUGGAGGCUAAGAAUUCCCAAGGUCUGCAGUUGAGAAGCUGGGGAACCCACAGGAGCUAGUAGUGUUCCAAUAUGAGUCUAAAGACCAGAGAAGCAGGAAAACUGAUGGUAUAACAUCCAGUCCAAACAUUGGUAGCUUCAAGACCCAAGAAGAGCCAGUAUUUUUUUUUUUUUUCACAUCCGAAGGCAGGGAAAUGCUGGCAUUUCAGCUUACAGCAGUCAAGCAGGAGGAGUUCCCUCUUAUGAACAAGGUCACCCUUUCUGUUCUGCGUGUCUUCAGCUGUUUGGAUGAGGCCCACCCACAUUAGGGAAAACAAUCUGCUUUUCUCAGUCUACCAAUUAAAACAUUAUUCUCAUCCACAAACAUCCUCACAGACACACCUAAAAUGAUGUUUGAACAAAUAUUUGAGCACCUUGUGACCCAACCACAUUGAAACAUAAAAUUAAUCAUCACAGAAACUUUUAUUAAGGAGAUCAGAGGUACCUUCCAUGAUAGGAUCAAAUUUGAACAAAUACUGGAAUAAAUGAGAGAAGGAGCCAUGUAUAUAUCCAGGGAAAAUUUUCUAGGUAGAAGAGAGAGCAACUACAAGGCUCUAAGUUGGGAGAGUUUUGAAGUAUUAGAGGAGGAGCAACAGCAAAGUUAGCAUAACUAGACUGUAACCAAAAGUAGUGAGAGAAAUAAGAGGUAAGGUGGAGUGAUGAGGUAAAGAAGUAGUGGAAGGGAAAGACUGGGGCCCUUUAGCCAAUUGUAAAGAUGUUGAUGUAGUUUCCAGUAAGAUGGGAAAGCAGAGUUUGAAGCAGUGGAAUGAUGUGAUCAGACUUACUUUUUGAAAAAGAUCAAAGCCAAAGAAUAGAGUAUUUGUAGAUAAGAGUAAAUGUUGGGUGACCAGUGAGGAGGUUAUUAUGGUAAUAAGUGAGAAAUGAUGGUGGCUUGGAAGCAGUGGAGAUUAUGAGAAGUGGUAGGUUUCUGGCUAAGUUUCUAAGAGCCAUCAUAUUUUCUUUUUGAAGAGUAUAAGGAAUCAGAUAACACCAAGGUUUUGGGCUUAAGCAACUGGGUUAAUAGAGGUGCCAGAGAGUUGAGAAUGCUGAGGGAGAACGUAGCUUGAGAAAGAGUUGGGAAUUUUGGUAUCUCGCAGCAAGCUUGAGAUGCCUAUGAAUACAAUUGUGUCUGCAUACUCAGUAUUAAUCUUGAAUUCAGGAAGGAUUGAUCGAGCCUAGAUAUUCAAGUUUAGUCUUAACAUUGGAUGAGAACAAUUUAAGAGUACAGGUAGACAAAAUAAUUAGGCUGUUAUUUUAAAAAGUAUUUGAAAGCCAGCUAUUGCAGGGAGGAAAUGAUUUGCCAAAGUAUUAUAAUAAAUAGCUGUAGUUGUGGAAUUUUAGACCCCUGUAAGGAAAAAUGUAUUCUCAUUUCUGUAAAAGUGUGAAGGGCAGAGUUUCCUUAAGUCUACUUUCAGCCCCAUGUAUGUCUGUAAUGCUGAAUGCCUACAACAAUAAUCACAGCUAAUAUUUACAGAUCUGUUAAUAUGUAUCAGGCACAGGACCUAAAUAUUACUUACAUAUACUAAUUUACUUAAAUGUCAUAGCAGCCCUAUGAAGUAGGUAAUGUUAUCACCAUUUUGCAUGAAAAAUGGAAUAAUUUGCACAAUAAUCAAACAUUAUAAAUGUAUUUUAUAAUUUUCAAAUAUAUAUUUUUUAUUCUCAACAGUCUUGUGAGAUGGAUAGGGAAGGUAGUAGUACAAUUUUAUAGAUAAGAUCAAUGAGUGACAAUGAGGUUGUGUUAUAUCCAAAGUCACAAAGCUAGUGAAGAGUGUAGCUGGAACUCACACCCAAUUCUACUUAUUUCAAGCCAACUCUGUUUAAUUUGCACUGUCCAAUAGAAUUUCCUGUGAUGAUAGAAAUGUUCUAUAUCUGUUCUCUUCAAUAUGGUAGUCACUCAACACGUGGCUAUGGAAUACUUGAAAUGUGGCUAGUGAAACUAAGCAACUGCUUGUUUGUCAUUAAAUUUGAAUGUAUAUAUAGCCAUUGUGACAAGUAAAUAAUAUAUUGGACCAUACAGCUUAAAAAUAUUUAUAAAUCAUUAACAAAGUAAGAUUAUAGGAAAUAUUACUAGGGUAUCCCUUUAUCACUACAUCAAAGAUGGACCCUGAUGACUUUUUCCAUCUGUAUCAAAAAUGGUUAAUCUUAUAUUGUACUAUUUCAAAAUAUAGAAAAAGAUGGUAUACUCUCCAGUUUGAUGAGAUAAAAUAAAGUCUUUAUCCUGAAACCCCAAAAUAACUUCAUAACAAAUUAAAAUUUCAGGCUGAUCAUAAUUUAUGAAUAUUAGCCAUUCUUGGCAAACCACAUAUUGAAAGGAUUCAACACAAUCAUCAAAUAAAAUUAUCAGCUUGAAAUUAUUACAACAGAAUGGUUAUUUGAAUACACAAAAUAAUCUUUGGUAUAUAGAAAAAAAAUUUAAAACUAAAAGUACAAUAUAUGAUAUACACAGAAUUUAUAUAAACCACCAAUGUUUACUCUAGCCCUAUUAAGCAUUUGCAUGGCCUCCUCCCCUCAAGUUUAGAAUGGUUCUAGCAACUUUCUUUUAACAAAUACAAUUUGGCAAAAAUUACAGGAUGUUACUUCUGAGAUUAAGAUACAAAAACUAACUUCUGCCUUGUUCUCUUUCUCACAUGUUUAUACUGAAGAACUGAGGGUGACUUCUGGUCAACAGCUAGGAAGAACCUGAGACCUCACAAAGUUGUCAAGUCCUUCCAACAACCACAUGAGUGAGCUUGGAAGCAGAUCCUUUCUUAGCAUAGCUUUCAAAUGAAACUACAGCCCCAGCCAACAUCAUGAUUUCCAGCUUAUAAGAUACCUAAAGGCAGAGACAUUCAGCUAAGCCAUAAUUAGUUUCUUUACCUACAGAAACUGUGAGAUAAUAAAUACUUAUUGUUUUAAGCCCUUAAGUUUUAGUGUAACUUUUAUUCAGCAAUAAAUAAUGAAUAUUUAUUUAUUUAUUUAUUUUUUAAAUACACGACAACAGUGG
This 5982-nucleotide long non-coding RNA is filed under the name Marmota monax (woodchuck). Lineage: Eukaryota; Metazoa; Chordata; Mammalia; Rodentia; Sciuridae. The record is from RNAcentral.